This 599-nucleotide long non-coding RNA is filed under the name Amborella trichopoda. RNAcentral describes it as "long non-coding RNA (ATRI_LNC004176)". The record is from RNAcentral. Lineage: Eukaryota; Viridiplantae; Streptophyta; Magnoliopsida; Amborellales; Amborellaceae.
UUCGAUCAUGGAUUACAAAAAAAUCGAUCAAGUAUUACAAAACAUUCGAUCAUGGAUUACAAAAAAAAAAAGAAAAGAAAUUAUGUUCUUCACAUAGCCAUUUCCAUUAGCGAUUUUAACUCAAAAAUCCACCUCUAAGUGAAUAAAUUACAUCCAAUUGAGUAUAUUUUCUGAUAAACAACAAUAUAAGGAAUCAAAACCCUAAAUUUUUAACACAUUAUUUCUAAUAUAUCAUGAAAACAAAAUCAAAAGGCGGAAAAAAAAAAAAACAGCGGAAUUUUGGUUCCGUAGACAUCUCAGUGUUCAUCUCAAAUUUCAUGCUGUAAUUGACCAGAUUACGUAAAAUUGGAAAUUUUAAAUCAUACUAGACACAAUAAAGAUUAAAAACCCUAAUUAUUGAACUCAUUAUGUUCAAAAUAUGUCGUGAAAUAAAUCAAAUGGCGGAAAAAAAAAAAAACCCAAACUUCUUACCUGAUUUUGUGAACCGAAGCCUUCAAUAUCCAAAAAACUCUGUUUUUCUCAACGAUUAUCACAAAUUAGUAACAAAAGGUUUUGAUUCACAGCUUUACGAUCAAACUGCCUUCAAAUUUUGAAAGAUU